Molecule: ribosomal RNA, 463 nt
Filed under: uncultured bacterium
Lineage: Bacteria
Description: partial 16S ribosomal RNA
Rfam family: Bacterial small subunit ribosomal RNA
Source: RNAcentral
GAUGAACGCUAGCGGCGGGCCUAAUACAUGCAAGUCGAACGGGAAAGGUGGCAACACCUUGAGAGUGGCGUACGGGUGCGUAACGCGUAUACAACCUGCCUGUUACACGGGGAUAGCCUUGCGAAAGCGAGAUUAAUACCCGAUGGUACUAUUGAGCGGCAUCGCUUGGUAGGUAAAGCUGAGGCGGUAGCAGAGGGGUAUGCGUCCCAUUAGCUAGUUGGUGGUGGAGCGGAUUACCAAGGCUUCGAUGGGUAGGGGUUCUGAGAGGGUGAUCGGCCACAUGGGGACUGAGAUACGGCGCAGACUCCUACGGGAGGCAGCAGUGGGGAAUAUGGCACAAUGGGCGGAAGUCUGAGGCAGCAACGCAGCGUGCGGGAGGAUGGACUGCGGGUUGUAAACCGCUUUCGCCUGUGACGAAGCGUGAGUGACGGUAAUGGGUAAAGAAGCACCGGCUAACUACGUG